CCUCACGAGAGACGCGGGGUCAGCGGCUCAGAGCGCGGCUGUGUGGGGCUGCGGGGCUCCCGCCAUGCCCGCUGGGGUAGGUCCUGCGGACCCCGGCCACUGGAGCCACUCAUCAUUUCCGACGGAUGGGCCGGAGGGGCCGCCGGCCGCCCCAGCCAGGGUCUCGGUAGCCUGCAAGGAGAGAAAGAGGUGGGAGCAGCCCGCGCGGGGCCCUGCGUCUUGCAUAGGCGCUUCUGGGCGCGGAAUUGGAAGCAGUCGUCACCCGGAGGCCUGGGCGUGCAAGCACCGAAGCUCUGGCUGGCCCUGAGCCUCCCCACCCCACCCGCUCUUUUCGCUGGAACGCGUGUACUUUGGGCAGUUGCUGACGUGGAGACAGGACGUAUGUCUUCAUAUUUUAGUAAAACCCAAUGCCCUCUGCCUCUC
Homo sapiens (human) is the source of this 423-nucleotide long non-coding RNA. Ensembl annotates it as C16orf95 divergent transcript. Its record names the gene C16orf95-DT. The record is from Ensembl. Lineage: Eukaryota; Metazoa; Chordata; Mammalia; Primates; Hominidae.